Cinara cedri is the source of this 1803-nucleotide non-coding RNA. The record is from the annotation of a GenBank genome assembly. NCBI's taxonomy places the organism in Eukaryota, Metazoa, Arthropoda, Insecta, Hemiptera, Aphididae.
AUUGAUAAAAUAUUCCUAAAUUAACAAAACCUAUCUAAUUGAACUCUGUUACCUAUACAAAAUCAGAAAUUAUUUUGAACGAAUCCAGUUAAAAGAAAUAACAUUCCCGAUAAAAACCUAACUAUGGAGAAUAUCAAGUCCCUUCAGAAUCCUCCCAAAAAAUGUAGCUUUUUAAAGUAAUUAUAUUUACAUUGUGUCAAUUCUGUUCUUUCUUACAUAAUUAUAAUACUUAAACAAUUAAAUAAUACUUGAACCGGUUGUUAAGUCUUCUGAUAUUUCUUGUUAAAAUUAUGUUAGAUGUCAGCAAGGUCAAAGUUGUGGAGGGUAUCUAAGGGUCCUGAUUCCUCGAAAUGUUUUCCAUGUAAAACGAGUUAAGUAAAUAAAAGUGAAUUGAAUUUAAAACAAAUGUUGGCCCUACAUGAAAUGUAUUCCAUGGAUGAUGUAAGUAUAAUACGUAUAUAAGUAUUAUUGAAAGUGUCUUAAAUAAAAUAAUUUCAUUCUCCUCCAACUAUCCAUUUAGCCAUCUCUAUUUCUAUCUUCCUCGCCCACUCAUUUCUCAUAUAUUUUAUUUCAUUACAAUUCUGAUUGCUUCCAAUUCCCUUUUCUUCUUAGCAUAAUCAAAUCAUCUCAGUCUAUUUUAUUUUAUUUUGUUUACUAUCUAUCCACAUUGUAUUUAUGCAUUCUUUAUCCUAUCAUCUUUCGUCACUCCACUCAUCCACUUAAGACUUUUCAUCUAUGCUACAUUCAUUCUCUGUUCUAUUAUUCUAGCUACCACUUAACACUCCGAACCAUACAACAUAGUUGGUCUCAUCACACUUUUGUAAAACUUCUCUUUAAGGCUCGUUGGAAUUCUCUUAAUACAUGAAACAUAUUUUUUCCAACCACACUUAAUCCUAUGUUUCACAUCCUCGUCAAAACCACGAUUAUUGUGAACAAAAAUCCUAAACUUCAAGAUUUUUAACCUCUCCAAUUACGUCACUGUAUUAACCUGUUCCUCCAAACUCAUAUUCUAUAUACCCUAUUUUACGAUAACUUAUCCUUAAUCUUUUUACUUUAAGCCCUAAUCUUUAUUUCUCGAGCAGAUUAUUAACUUUUUCCACAUUUUCUCCUAUCUUAACUGCAUUAUCUGCAAAUAUAUUUUACCACAGAACCUUCCCCCCUUCUUCACCUUUUGUCUUCGUGAACAUGUAAAAUCCUCAUAAGUAUUGUUUAGAACUCCUCAUUUUUUUUGACCGAAUUUAACACUGUCAAACUGACGCAAUCCCAUUUGUCAUGUAUUAUGACAGAUAGAGGUACCGUGGGAGUAUUCUGAUCCUCUUCCACUGAGAAAAUGGUGAAUUCCUCCACCAUACAGAAACAAUAUAAUUUUCCAACUGAAAUCAUACUCUUUGGUUUUCUACAAAUAGAACCUCGGGGCCCUAGGUUCACUAAACUCAUAGCAUCAUAUGCCCCCUUGAGGUUGCUGAAAUUGUAUUCUUAUCUUAUUUUACUGUUAGAUAAAAAUAUUUAAAAAAUAUUAUUACCAGUUUAACAUAAUAAUAUAUAAUUGCAUUUUACUAUUCAGUAAUCAAUAUGCAUAAAUUGAUUUUAUUAUUUUUUGUCGUUAUAUUGCUUACAGUUUUAUAAUAUUUUGUAAUCUAAUUUUUCGUAUGAUUUUGUUACAAACUCGUAUGUUGUCAUUAAUAAUCAAAACAAAAUUAACUGUAUAAUCAAUAUCUGCAUCGUUUCCUAUACAGCCAUUUAUAACUGAAAUAUCAACAAUAAGUAAAAAUCCAGCUUUUCAAUAGACCCCGCCGAAAUGCC